AUCUCUCUCUGUCAUGAAUAAAUAAAAUCUUGAAAAGAAAAAAAAGUGCAAGGCCCUCCUCCUGAGCAUGGAGACUUGUGUGACUGCACAGGUUGGACCUCUGUGCAGCUGGUGCCAGUUGAGGCUUAUGCUCCCCGAGGAAGCCAGGAAGUGGUGAGACGACCUGGACUAUCCUCGAGGACCCCAACCUUCGAGGAGACUCCCCCAAAUCAUGUGUGCUAGAACUCCCCGAGGAAGAGGUUUUGAGGCCAGUGGGAACGCUUUGGAGAAAAGCAAGCAAGGAGUCGAAGGAGACACAGAAAGAAGCAGAGACACAGGAGGACAGACGGGCUCCCCACGAGGAGCCGAGCGGGGGACCCGAUGCCAGGACCUUUGGGACACGACGGGGACAAAGGCAGAUGCUCAACCACCGAGCCACCCAGGCGCCCUCUUGAAAAUAAUAUUGGCAAGAAGAUUCCUGUGAAUGUAACAUCUAUGCUAAUCGAGUUCUAAAUUGAAAAGAAUGUCAAAUCUCCUGUAACAUAUUAGCAGUUUACUUCACCUUUGCAGUAACUGCAAUUGAAAUCUGUCUCAAAACAAAUAUGUAGUUGGAGAUACUGUAAUAGAAGUGGUCCUUCUUUCCAAAUAAGUGGAUCUAAAAGUUUGAAUUGGGUCUAAAAUGUUUCCUAUUUAUACCGAUUAAAUCAUGCAACAGUGAAACCUU
Molecule: long non-coding RNA, 703 nt
Organism: Canis lupus familiaris (dog)
Lineage: Eukaryota; Metazoa; Chordata; Mammalia; Carnivora; Canidae
Exons: 2
Source: RefSeq, a predicted model, not a curated record